GUCCACGCCCUAAACGAUGUCAACUAGGUGUUGGGAGGGUAAAACCUUUUAGUACCGUAGCUAACGCGUGAAGUUGACCGCCUGGGGGAGUACGGCCGCAAGGUUAAAACUCAAAGGAAUUGACGGGGACCCGCACAAGCGGUGGAUGAUGUGGAUUAAUUCGAUGCAACGCGAAAAACCUUACCUACCCUUGACAUGUUCAGAAGCCUGAAGAGAUUUGGGUGUGCCCGAAAGGGAACUGGAACACAGGUGCUGCAUGGCUGUCGU
This 267-nucleotide ribosomal RNA is filed under the name uncultured bacterium. RNAcentral describes it as "partial 16S ribosomal RNA". It matches the Rfam family "Bacterial small subunit ribosomal RNA", at positions 793 to 1055 of the family's 1533-position model. The record is from RNAcentral.